GAAAGAUACAAGCUGGCCCUGGAGUAUUGCAGGACCUGGUCAAUACUAGCUAGGCUUGAUGGCAGAUCCUAUGUCCUAAGCAAAAUUCAGAUGGAAAUCAGUAGUGACAAAUUACGUCAAAGGCCUAAUAUUCUCUUCUAGGACUCUGUAUGUUAGCUAACUGAAGGCUUAUCUUCCACAUUUCCUUAGAGAAAGUGAAUUAGGCUUCCUGCUAACGGGUACCUCCAAGAGUCCCAUUCCUGCUGGCAGACAGAAGGCAUCCAGGGCCUGAUUCAGCACAUUUGUGGUAAGAACUUUGAGCCAAAUUAAGAGCCUCCUUUUGAAAUGGGGGCCAGAGGGGACUUCCAAAUGCUUUCCUUGAGGUUGCUCAGUGUCCUUAGCUAAUUAUACCGUCCUCCCAAAUAUGUAAAAGAGGAAGUAGAUCCAUGCAAAAAGAGUGGGAUUCCCCUUUUGGUUCGCAGUGGUUUUUAAAAACUUUAUUCUAAACAUAAUAUUAA
RNAcentral lists this long non-coding RNA (497 nucleotides) under Vulpes vulpes (red fox). RNAcentral's name for it is "lncRNA (ENSVVUG00000024864.1)". Lineage: Eukaryota; Metazoa; Chordata; Mammalia; Carnivora; Canidae. The record is from RNAcentral.